GCACUGCACAGCUCUGCAAGGAACGGUUGGGAGAAGCCGUUGGAGCGGAACGUUUAAAAGAGGAAUUGAAAAGAGAGCGAACGCGGCUGUUGGAACUAAGAAUUAAAAUUAUUCUGGCACGAGCAAAAGAACUCCACCACAGUACUGUCCGAAUUCGGGAGCUGGCUGCGGGCACAGUCUCGGAGGAUUGGGACGGGGAUACCUGCAGAGAUUGUGAGGAGAACGGUGCUGAAGAGGUGAAGUUGCUGGAGGAACUGGACGUGUGACCUCUUGUUAACACCGAAAGGCAGAGGGUGCGCACGGCGGGAACCCCCAAACCACGGUCCGCGGGUUCCUGCGCAGACCUGUGCUCAGGGAAUCGUACAUGGAGUUUUCGCGCAAACCGGGCGAAACGGGAACGGGGCAUCUGUGGAGAGCCCCUGACGGGGGAGGUCGGGUACUGCUCAGUGACGAAGAAGGGAGCGGGUUUGGGCGUCCAAGAGUGGUUGUGAGCAACGGACCGGUGGGCGAUCGCCCAGUAACCUCGCGAGUGGCUUCUUGGGCGGGGGGUAGAGCCCAGGAGCGAGGAGCGCGGGUCACUCUGACAGUGGAAGGACUGUCGGAGCUACCGGAGGGGGUACACACUGCUGCUUGCAUCCCAGCAGUGCAUGAGAGAGGACUGCACGGGGUACCGAUGGCCGCGCCGGGAGACCCCGGCCACCUCAGACCCCCCUCAGAGGAUCACCAGAUGCCCUGAGAAAUACCCGUUCAGUCUGUAAUAGGGAGAAUGCCGGCAGCCAUUGGGCACGAUCGGCCCCUCAGAACCGCCCCUGCGCGUUUUGACUCGGGCGGAGACGUGACACAACCUAGGGCAGGAGGAGGGCUGGGCCGUUCCGGAGCGGAGCGCAGGCGGGGGCUGGAGAGAAGUGGUUAGUGCUGUGAUUGGUGUGGUCAUCUGAGAUACCCGUGUGCCUGCAUGCUUCCGCUUCCCCCUGCAACGGCAGCUCAGGGACACGGGGCUGCAGAAGCCGCAGAAGAUCAUCUGUUACAAGAUUAGUGUGCCUUGGAGUCAUGGGCCGUUAUGCAAACAGGGUGGCACAGGAAAGUGCUAUCACCAUCAACAUACAUGAGGCAAUCCAGGGGCUGAUGAAAGUGAUCUUCGAUUCGGAGAUGUUCUGGAAAUAAGAUGGCUCAUGAGUUUUCUUCAGUAAGUCCCAAAUAUCUACAUUUCCAUCGUCUCUGCCAAUGAAGAAAACUCCUGGUCUUGUUAAGGACCAUCGUCCUGCAGUGUAUCUUCCUGAAGAGCAGCUUGACUGAAGGAUUGCUCCAUACUUGAUUUUUUUUAAACAAAUAAAAGAUAAACCUGACAGUAAAACAGUA
Long non-coding RNA from Strigops habroptila (Kakapo), 1359 nucleotides. RefSeq lists it as uncharacterized. NCBI's taxonomy places the organism in Eukaryota, Metazoa, Chordata, Aves, Psittaciformes, Psittacidae. The transcript has 2 exons. The record is from RefSeq and is a predicted model, not a curated record.